This is a non-coding RNA of Pelobates cultripes (western spadefoot toad), 229 nucleotides long. The record is from the annotation of a GenBank genome assembly. NCBI's taxonomy places the organism in Eukaryota, Metazoa, Chordata, Amphibia, Anura, Pelobatidae.
CAUAGAUAUAUCCUCUAUAAGGAAGGUUAAUGUUCAUGUUACUAGCUAAAAGCAAGUAGUUGCCUUGUUAAAAAGUUGCUCAAAACACAACUGACCUUUUGUAUACCCCGUCUGACAUCAAUUUAAUUAAUGGUAUAAUAGCAUUGACACAAAACUUUCUGAACCAUGAAGAGUACAUUUUUUAAAUAUGUUGUGGAAUUUAUAUACAUUUAUUACCCAACUGAACACU